This 263-nucleotide unclassified non-coding RNA is filed under the name plant metagenome. Its description in RNAcentral is "partial contains small subunit ribosomal RNA, internal transcribed spacer 1, and 5.8S ribosomal RNA". The record is from RNAcentral.
UUUCCGUAGGUGAACCUGCGGAAGGAUCAUUAUUGUAUAACCGAGGUGCGAGGGCUGUCGCUGACUCGAAAGGUCGUGCACGCCCGAGUGCCCUCACUCACCUCCUUCUCACCCCUAUGUGCACCACCGCGUGGGUCCCAAUUCGGCUUGUUCGGUGGGGGGCUUACGUUUUCACACAAACUUUGUAAGCAGUGUAGAAUGUAUUUUUUGUUUUUGCGAUCACGCAAUCAAUACAACUUUCAACAACGGAUCUCUUGGCUCUC